GAUGAACGCUAGCGGGAGGCUUAACACAUGCAAGUCGAGGGGCAACAGGUUUUAGCUUGCUAAAAUGCUGGCGACCGGCGCACGGGUGCGUAACGCGUAUGCAACCUACCUAUUAUUAGAGGAUACUCCAUGGAAACGUGGCACAACACUCUAUAGUCUAUUAAAUGGGCAUCCAUUAUAUAGUAAAGGUUACGAUAAUAGAUGGGCAUGCGUAGGAUUAGUUAGUUGGUAAGGUAACGGCUUACCAAGACGAUGAUCCUUAGGGGGCAUGAGAGGGGGAUCCCCCACACGGGUACUGAGACACGGACCAGACUCCUACGGGAGGCAGCAGUGAGGAAUAUUGGUCAAUGGGCGCGAGCCUGAACCAGCCAUCCCGCGUGCAGGAAGAAUGCCCUAUGGGUUGUAAACUGCUUUUGUACUGGGAUAAACCUACCCUCGUGAGGGUAGCUGAAGGUACAGUAUGAAUAAGCACCGGCUAACUCCGUGCCAGCAGCCGCCGUAAAAC
This 505-nucleotide ribosomal RNA is filed under the name uncultured bacterium. RNAcentral's name for it is "bacterial SSU rRNA". It matches the Rfam family "Bacterial small subunit ribosomal RNA", at positions 28 to 526 of the family's 1533-position model. The record is from RNAcentral.